GAGUUUGAUCCUGGCUCAGAACGAACGCUGGCGGCGUGCUUAACACAUGCAAGUCGAACGAGAAACCUCGAGCUUGCUCGAGGGAGUAAAGUGGCGCACGGGUGAGUAACACGUGGGUAACCUACCCCCGAAUCCGGGAUAACCUCGCGAAAGCGUUGCUAAUACCGGAUAUUGUCCUAUCGGUUGUGACCUUUGGGAUGAAAGGCAACCUCUUCAUGAAAGUUGUCGUUCAGGGAUGGGCCCGCGUACCAUUAGCUUGUUGGUGGGGUAACGGCCCACCAAGGCUGCGAUGGUUAGCUGGUCUGAGAGGAUGAUCAGCCACACUGGAACUGAAACACGGUCCAGACUCCUACGGGAGGCAGCAGUGAGGAAUUUUGCGCAAUGGGGGAAACCCUGACGCAGCAACGCCGCGUGAGUGAAGAAGGCUUUCGGGUCGUAAAGCUCUGUCAAGUGGGAAAAAAGUCUGAUGAUUAAUAGUUGUCAGAUCUGAUGGUACCACUGGANGAAGCACCGGCUAACUCCGUGCCAGCAGCCGCGGUAAUACGGAG
Molecule: ribosomal RNA, 548 nt
Filed under: uncultured bacterium
Lineage: Bacteria
Description: bacterial SSU rRNA
Rfam family: Bacterial small subunit ribosomal RNA
Source: RNAcentral